GACGAACGCUGGCGGCGUGCUUAACACAUGCAAGUCGAACGGAAAGGCCUGCUUUCCCUUGUGGAUUGCGGGUACUCGAGUGGCGAACGGGUGAGUAACACGUGAGUGAUCUGCCCCCAACUUGGGUAUAAGCCUGGGAAACUGGGUCUAAUUCCCGAUAGGACUGCAGGGUGGUGCCUGUGGUGGAAAACGAUUUUCUAGUGGUUGGGGAUGAGCUCGCGGCCUAUCAGCUUGUUGGUGGGGUAAUGGCCUACCAAGGCGGCGACGGGUAGCCGGCCUGAGAGGGUGGACGGCCACAUUGGGACUGAGAUACGGCCCAGACUCCUACGGGAGGCAGCAGUGGGGAAUAUUGCACAAUGGGCGGAAGCCUGAUGCAGCGACGCCGCGUGGGGGAUGACGGCCUUCGGGUUGUAAACUCCUUUCGACCGCGAGGGAGCCACCUGGUUGGAAGGGUGGUGACGGUAGUGGUAGAAGAAGCACCGGCUAACUACGUG
RNAcentral lists this ribosomal RNA (494 nucleotides) under uncultured bacterium. RNAcentral describes it as "partial 16S ribosomal RNA". It matches the Rfam family "Bacterial small subunit ribosomal RNA", at positions 28 to 507 of the family's 1533-position model. The record is from RNAcentral.